RNAcentral lists this unclassified non-coding RNA (5215 nucleotides) under Leishmania donovani. RNAcentral's name for it is "gene:LdHU3.34.3980(CDS-product:Alba_putative)". The record is from RNAcentral. Lineage: Eukaryota; Euglenozoa; Kinetoplastea; Trypanosomatida; Trypanosomatidae.
AUUUUCACAAAAAGAAUUAGCCUUCCUUCUCAUCUGCGUUUCGACACGGUUUCGUCUCUCGCAUCGCAUACAGCCCGCCUUACUCUGCCCUGCAUUUUUCCUUUUUUAACUUUCGCAACAGGAAAACCCGCUAAGCAGCAAUGCCGCCACGUCCGUCUCGUGAUGAGUACCGCCGCGUCCGCGAGGGCCGCGAGAAUCGCGACCGCCCCGAGGGUGCUGAGAACGAGGUGCGUGUGACUGCUACCCAUGGCCAGCACAGCUACAUCUCGUACGUCAUCGCCGUGCUGAACGGUGAAGAUGGCAAGACGCGCAACGACACGGUAAAGAUCAGCGGUAUGGGCGGCGCCAUCUACAACGCCGUCAACAUCGCCGAAAUUGUGAAGCGCCGCAUUUCUGGCCUGCACCAGGUCACUGAGCUGGGCUCUGAGCUGGUUCGCGACGAGUACGAGCCGAUCGACCGCACCCGGAACCCUGAGAACGUCGUGGUGGAGCGCAAGGUGUCCACAAUCCUCAUCACGUUGUCCCGUAACUGUUUGGACAAGUCCAACCCUGGUUACCAGGAGCCGAUUCCGGAUAGCGAGGUGACGGAGCAGGAGAGGCGCGACCCCAAUAUGAGCCGUCGCGGCGGUCGUGGUGGCAGCCGUGGUGGUCGUGGUGGCAGCCGUGGUGGCCGUGGUGGCAGCCGUGGUGGUCGUGGCGGAAGCCGUGGUGGCCGCGGGGUAGCGGCCAUCGAUCGCCGCGAUGACCGCGAGAACUAGAAACGCGGGGAAAGUAAAUAGCGGGAAUGGGGGGGGGCUGGCUAUUUGCCGGCGCGCACCUGGGUGGUGCGUGAGUGUCCCUGCCAGCUUUAGGGCCGUCCAUGCCUGCCUCCACAUCCCUGCCCUUGCAGCCGCACCAUCUUUGUGUGUGUGGGGUUUUCAUGGUGUGAGUCCUCAGAUAGGUGAUGCUGUGGGCGGGCACUACACGAAAAGAAAAGCCAUACCGAAGCAAAAUCACACAGACGCGAGGCUCAAGAAUGAUAUAGAUGAUGAGGUGUAUUAGCGCGCUUGUUUUGUGCGGUUUCCUUUUUUUUUUCACACACACAUACCGUAGUUGUACCACUCCCCUUCGUACCUCACCCACUUUGCCUUUCUUUGUUUUCGGUUUGCUGGUGUUCGUGGCCAUUGCACCGCAGUGCUCCGGCUUGCGGUGUGGUGAUCGCAGCAGCGCCUAGCUGGAUCUACUUGUAUCUAUCUUGCUUCCGUAUCAAUGUGUGUCUUGGCGUGUGCAGGCGCAAGCCACCCCAAACGAGGCGAAAUUAGUGCGGAAUCCAAGAUGACGGAAAGAAAAAGUAGGGAUGAUUCCGCGUGGGGUUUACGGCAUGCGCGCGAGCGACAAGAGAGAAAAAAAACGAGGGAAUGGGGGCAGAGGAGUGGGCGGGGGAGGGGGCCGAAGGAGCAAAGGGGGAAAAAGCCCGCUUGUUUUUUCCCCUGCCUCUGCCCCCCGCCCCCUUCUCUGCCUCUCCGACUUCGCCAUCACCGUGCGCGUUUUUUUCUCCCUCUCCUGCGCAUAUCUGUUGUUUCUUUUGAUGUGUUUUGUUGCGGCUUGGUUCUUUUUUUUCGUUCUUUCUUGGUGUCUUGACGAUUUUUUCCUCUUCGAUUUUUUUUUUGUGAUGUUGAGGGGAAUGGGUGACGACCCUCUUCGUGUAGUGGUUCGACUGUCUUCCUCCACAGUCGCUGUGCAGUUCGUUUUUUUUUUCUGUAGUAUGCACAAAUGCGUAUGUGGAGCCCGGUGAAGGCUUCACACUUUCAGAAUCAAGCAUAUACACACGCACACACCAUGAGCAACGUGACGUCGUUCACCCUCUACCCUCUUUUCUAUUCUCUUUUCCUUUUCUGUGUUUGGUUGUUUCUUCUCUCCCUCUUUUCGUUUUUCUCUUCUCUCGUCAGACAACGGUGAAGAAAACACACACACAAAGAAAAUAAAAAAGAGGAACAAGCUGUACGUGUAUCUUUUCAAAGUCCCCGAAACCCCUGUACGCCCCGGCGAUAGUAACUAAAGCAAACAUGAACAAAAAAAAAGAGGGCAGACCAACCUCUUUUUUCUCUCCUCUCCUCUCCUCUCCUCUUCUUUUCCCGUCGGUGUCUCCUUGCCAUGCUUGCUGUGCCAUUUCGAGGUGAUGUUCCCUCCACGUUUUUCGUUGCCAUGCGUGCCCUUCUCUCUUUGCUUUUUCGAUGAGCCACAAGAAAAAAAAACGCGUGUGAAAGAGACGCGAGAUGGGCGAGCAAGCGGCUGACAGAGGGAAUGGCCACAAACCAAUUUUUUUUUCUGUUUACCGGGUAGGGGAGAAGGUCGAAAAGAAGACGAAGAGGAGAGGUGCCUCGCUCUCGAUUCUGGAGAGGGCGUUCAAUAUAUAGAGGCUGGCGAAACGGAAGAGAGAGAGCGAAGGGCGAAAAGAGGGAGGGCGAAAACUGAUGUCUUGUGACAAAGCCCCCGAAAACCCCAAAUAUAAAGAACAACAACAGCAAACAAGAAGAGAGUCGAUCUCUCUCCCAUCACUCGCGAACGGACAUGGACGUAAAUUCACACCAUCGCUCUUCCACCAUCAGCCCCCUCCCCCCAUCCAUCGACCACUUACUCAAGAGUGAAGCUAGCAAAGAACCAGAACUUCUCUGCCCCGCCCCCUUUUUUCCUUUUUCCCCGACGCCAUCCGUACAGACGGGAUUGUGUUUUGUUCUCUUUCUCUCCGCCCUGUUUAAUGAAGAACUUUUUUCCCCUCUUUUCUUUUCUCUCUCCCCGUUCAUUUAGGUCUCCUUUCCUCUGAACUAUUACGAGCCACCACCACCAGCACCAGCACCACUGUUACCUCUCUUUAAUUUGACUCGUCUCUAUCCAUCGGCCCAUCUCUUGCCAUUCUCUUUGUUUCUUUCUUUUCGUUUUUUUUUGUUGUUCUCUCGGGCGUGUGCCGUGAACCUGUUCAUCGUCUGCUCCUUAAAGCUUGUCUGCAUGUCUCACGCAGCAUGUGAAGGCGACGAGGCACUAAUGUGAGGAGACAGCGGGCCGUCGCGCCCUACAUAACAAAAAAAAACAAAAGAAAAUCAGACAUAAAAAGAGAUGCGACGAAGACGAAGAGGAAAAAGAAAACGCAAGAAAAAAGAAAAAAAAGAGGAAAAGAAGGCGAGGAAAGAAAAGAACAAAAACAGAAAUGCAGCCACCCAACCACCCACCCACACACACACACACACGUCCCACACGGGCACAUACACGCGCGCGCCCUAUUUUGUUUGAUGCUCGUUUUACAAAGAAGAAAGAAAAAAAAACACCAUCUCACACAUGCAGAGAAAAACAAAAAACAAGCAGACCAAGAGUACACGUGGAAGAGGGGGAGGGGUAGACGACGCGCGCGAAAAUAAACGAAAGAGGAGCAUAACGGAGAAUAAUAUAUAUAUAUGAUGAGUGCGUGCGUGCGUGCGUGUGUGUGUGGCUGUCUCUCCCGCACUUCGCCGUUUGUUAGCUCGACUGAGUUUUCCUUUUUUACCCCUUUCUCUCUCGAUCUCUUUCUUCUUUCUUGUACAUGGGAGGUGUAGGAUGGAUGAUACGGCACACAUAUACAGCGGCGAGAGUGACAUUGGCUGAAGCUGCUCGGGAGCACGAGGAAAGAAUCCGUUUUUCUUUCGUUGCUUCUCCUUUACUCCGCGUCCCGUUUACGUUCAGUACCCAAACUCGCACUAUCAUUUUUCACUCACUUCCCCGGCUUGCCCUUUACGCCUUGUUUCUCACUGUGUUCGUCGGCGUUCUUGGUGCCUCCCUCUGUUUUUUCUUCGGUUUUUCGGUUCGGGUUCUUUCUGCCUACCGUGCCCACUGCUGGUGCUGCCUCUUUUUCUUUCUCCUUCGCUCCUCCAUAUCCAUUCACGCUUUCGUUUCUCUUCACUGAUGCAAGCACACAACGUGUGCUUUUCAUCGCUAAGACGAGUGCAAGGGAUAACCGUGACGGCUGGACAUGGGCGGGAGGAAAGGGCGAGCAUGACGCAGACACCAAGAGAACGAAAGAGGAAAGGAAAAGAACGACAAAAGCAGAGGGCAUUGCUAGGGUUCUCGAACACUAUAGCAAACCUGAAAGCACUGUCUCCUCCGCUGCCGCAGCGACAAGAAGACACGCAAAAUCUCAAAAUAUUUUGCGCUUUUUCCCCCGUUUGUUGGAGUUCUUCAAGCGUGAUUGACGACGACCAAAAAACAGGAAGGAACGAGGAAAAGACGGAAUGUACGAAUUUGUUUUUAUUUUUGCUGUAGGGAAAAGAUCAAACCAUACACGGAAGAAGAAACGGAGAUACAAAAAGAGAGAAGCUCCUCCCCUUCCCUCCGCCCUCCCACAAAAAAAAGAAACAGUAAAUGCCAUAUACCGCAAAAAAAUGGAGAGGGAAGAAGAAUAUGAUGCACUGAAGAAAACAAAAUCACGCCAACCCAUCUUCUUCCCCUCCUCCCUGUCCACCAGGAGAAAAAAGCGAAAUACGAAAAAAAAACCGCACACCCACAAGAACACAUGCGCAGGCAGAUCCUCAAGCUCGACGUUUUCGAUCAAGGGAAAUGCGUUGUUCAUGAGCGGCUUUCGCAGUGACAAUGACAGUGAAGAAAGAAGAUGAGGCUCAAUAUGGUCAGAGAACAAGUGAAAGCACAGAAGGACCACUGCACAACUGAAAAAAAAAGGAGGAGGAUGGGGGGAGGUUUCUCCCCCCUCCCUCCAUCCGCACAGAGAGAAGUCCGGUGCCCGGUGAAGCGAAAGCAACAAAAAAAAGGGAUGUGACAUGCUCCUUUUUCCUUUUCCCCUUUUCGCGCUUUUACUUUGUGUUUAAUUUUUUUUUCAUUCUCUUGUGCGUUGCUCUUCUUUUUGGCUGCUGCUACCAGUGCGAUUUUAUUUUUUUUCUUUCCACUUUUGUUUCUCUUUCGUUAUCUUUCUUUUUUUCGUGUGUUCGGGUGAUGCAGCUGUGUUGUCGUCUCUGUUGGAACUGCUGUUGUGUGCGCGCGUGCUUUUUCUUCGUCCUACUGUCUGAAUCCAUCCCCCUUCCCCAUGCAACGCCCUCUACCCUCUUCGUGCCGUCAAUAUUAUGGUUCCUUGUUCGCUCUUGUGUUUUUUUUUUCUCUUCGCUCUCUUUUCUUUUUUUGCUAAAUCGCUCACUAAAAAAAAUGACGUGAAGCUCUGUGUGUUCGGUCGCACGGUUUUGUGGCUACUGGGACAUCG